Molecule: ribosomal RNA, 548 nt
Filed under: uncultured bacterium
Lineage: Bacteria
Description: partial 16S ribosomal RNA
Rfam family: Bacterial small subunit ribosomal RNA
Source: RNAcentral
UAGGGAAUAUUGGACAAUGGGCGCAAGCCUGAUCCAGCCAUGCCGCGUGAGUGAAGAAGGCCCUCGGGUUGUAAAGCUCUUUUGUCCGGAAAGAAAAGCAUCGGGCUAAUACCCUGGUGUUCUGACGGUACCGGAAGAAUAAGCACCGGCUAACUUCGUGCCAGCAGCCGCGGUAAUACGAAGGGUGCAAGCGUUACUCGGAAUUACUGGGGCGUAAAGCGUGCGUAGGUGGUUUGUUAAGUCUGAUGUGAAAGGCCCUGGGCUCAACCUGGGAAUGGCAUUGGAAACUGGCGGACUCGAGUGCGGUAGAGGGGUGUGGAAUUCCCGGUGUAGCAGUGAAAUGCGUAGAGAUCGGGAGGAACACCAGUGGCGAAGGCGACACCCUGGACCAGCACUGACACUGAGGCACGAAAGCGUGGGGAGCAAACAGGAUUAGAUACCCUGGGUAGUCCACGCCCUAAACGAUGCGAACUGGAUGUUGGGUGCAACUUGGCACUCAGUAUCGAAGCUAACGCGUUAAGUUCGCCGCCUGGGGAGUACGGUCGCAA